This is a non-coding RNA of Caenorhabditis elegans, 66 nucleotides long. Lineage: Eukaryota; Metazoa; Nematoda; Chromadorea; Rhabditida; Rhabditidae. The record is from Ensembl.
UGUAGUUUGUAGUCUAGCAGACCCAUGAAAUGAUGAAAUGGUCUGCUAGACUACAAACUACAAAAU